This 57-nucleotide microRNA precursor is filed under the name Microcaecilia unicolor. RNAcentral's name for it is "Mun-Mir-101-P1-v2_pre stem-loop". It matches the Rfam family "mir-101 microRNA precursor family", at positions 11 to 67 of the family's 75-position model. From Rfam's summary of the family: The hairpin precursors (represented here) are predicted based on base pairing and cross-species conservation -- their extents are not known. In this case the mature sequence is excised from the 3' arm of the hairpin. The record is from RNAcentral. Lineage: Eukaryota; Metazoa; Chordata; Amphibia; Gymnophiona; Siphonopidae.
CAGUUAUCACAGUGCUGAUGCUGUCCACUGUAAAGGUACAGUACUGUGAUAACUGAA